This 718-nucleotide long non-coding RNA is filed under the name Bos taurus (domestic cattle). RNAcentral's name for it is "long non-coding RNA NONBTAT020475". The record is from RNAcentral. Lineage: Eukaryota; Metazoa; Chordata; Mammalia; Artiodactyla; Bovidae.
UCAUUGGUCAUUUUAUUAUUUUGAAAAUAUUACUCAUUUAAACAACUAAAAAAGGUUAAAGCUUGAUAUAAUCUUCAACACUGGAAAGGAUAAAUUAUUGAAAAAUAUGUAGAACAAAAAUUCCAUCUCAAUGCCAUUGAUAUCACUAUACUGUUGAACAAGUAUGAGGUAUUGAACAUUGCACAUAAUUAUACACUUAGGAUUUGACAUUGUAGCUAAACCAGUUGUUCAAGGCCACUAAAAUACUGAAGAGGAUUAAAAUUAUUAACAGUGCAGAGGAAAACAGAACUAUAAAAUCCCUUGUAACUCAAAGCUGGAAAUGGUGCUUUCACUCAAAAGAAUGUCACAAUUACCAAGAAUUUUCAGUAAUUCACGACACAAAACAAGACAGCCACCUCUAAUUUUUAACUUUUCUAUCAAAAUGAAUCCCGUGGUGAUAUAGUACAUAUUUUGGACCUGCAUGACAGUGAUUUUUAUAAUUGUUAUGUUUCAGAACUUACCCCUUAAAGAUUUCACAUACGUGUGAUAUGUACUAGUUAAAUUUCAUCACUUCAGAUAGAUGGGAUGACUUUUAGACUUUAUAUUAAGCAUUAGUAUGUCUUAGUAACAACAGAUAGAGUAUUUAAAAUUCAUAUAUUAAUUGAAGUGCUGAAAAAAUAGAUAUGAGUAAUAGCAAUUAAUUGCUAAAAAGAUAAAAUUCAAGUUUAGAUGAUACUUG